This 735-nucleotide ribosomal RNA is filed under the name uncultured Lachnospiraceae bacterium. RNAcentral describes it as "bacterial SSU rRNA". It matches the Rfam family "Bacterial small subunit ribosomal RNA", at positions 29 to 761 of the family's 1533-position model. Lineage: Bacteria; Bacillati; Bacillota; Clostridia; Lachnospirales; Lachnospiraceae. The record is from RNAcentral.
AUGAACGCUGGCGGCGUGCUUAACACAUGCAAGUCGAACGAAGCACUCUAUUUGAUUUUCUUCGGAAAUGAAGAUUUUGUGACUGAGUGGCGGACGGGUGAGUAACGCGUGGGUAACCUGCCUCAUACAGGGGGAUAACAGUUGGAAACGACUGCUAAUACCGCAUAAGCGCACAGGAUUGCAUGAUCCGGUGUGAAAAACUCCGGUGGUAUGAGAUGGACCCGCGUCUGAUUAGCCAGUUGGCAGGGUAACGGCCUACCAAAGCGACGAUCAGUAGCCGGCCUGAGAGGGUGACCGGCCACAUUGGGACUGAGACACGGCCCAAACUCCUACGGGAGGCAGCAGUGGGGAAUAUUGCACAAUGGGGGAAACCCUGAUGCAGCGACGCCGCGUGAGCGAAGAAGUAUUUCGGUAUGUAAAGCUCUAUCAGCAGGGGAGAAGAAUGACGGUACCUGACUAAGAAGCACCGGCUAAAUACGUGCCAGCAGCCGCGGUAAUACGUAUGGUGCAAGCGUUAUCCGGAUUUACUGGGUGUAAAGGGAGCGCAGGCGGUGCGGCAAGUCUGAUGUGAAAGCCCGGGGCUCAACCCCGGUACUGCAUUGGAAACUGUCGUACUAGAGUAUCGGAGGGGUAAGUGGAAUUCCUAGUGUAGCGGUGAAAUGCGUAGAUAUUAGGAGGAACACCAGUGGCGAAGGCGGCUUACUGGACGAUAACUGACGCUGAGGCUCGAAAGCG